GGAGAGGUGGCAGAGUCCGGCUGAAUGCACUGCACUCGAAAUGCAGCAUACCUUAUGGGUAUCGGGGGUUCGAAUCCCUCCCUCUCCG
This 88-nucleotide transfer RNA is filed under the name Candidatus Scalindua sp. RNAcentral describes it as "tRNA-Ser". It matches the Rfam family "tRNA". Rfam says of the family: Transfer RNA (tRNA) molecules are approximately 80 nucleotides in length. Their secondary structure includes four short double-helical elements and three loops (D, anti-codon, and T loops). Lineage: Bacteria; Pseudomonadati; Planctomycetota; Candidatus Brocadiia; Candidatus Brocadiales; Candidatus Scalinduaceae. The record is from RNAcentral.